UACGUAGGGUGCGAGCGUUGUCCGGAAUUAUUGGGCGUAAAGGGCUCGUAGGCGGUUUGUCACGUCGGGAGUGAAAACUCGGGGCUCAACCCCGAGCCUGCUUCCGAUACGGGCAGACUAGAGGUAUGCAGGGGAGAAUGGAAUUCCUGGUGUAGCGGUGAAAUGCGCAGAUAUCAGGAGGAACACCGGUGGCGAAGGCGGUUCUCUGGGCAUUACCUGACGCUGAGGAGCGAAAGUGUGGGGAGCGAGCAGG
Molecule: ribosomal RNA, 253 nt
Filed under: uncultured bacterium
Lineage: Bacteria
Description: partial 16S ribosomal RNA
Rfam family: Bacterial small subunit ribosomal RNA
Source: RNAcentral